This 501-nucleotide ribosomal RNA is filed under the name uncultured bacterium. RNAcentral describes it as "partial 16S ribosomal RNA". It matches the Rfam family "Bacterial small subunit ribosomal RNA", at positions 30 to 523 of the family's 1533-position model. The record is from RNAcentral.
AUUGAACGCUGGCGGCAGGCUUAACACAUGCAAGUCGAGCGGGGGAAGGUAGCUUGCUACCGGACCUAGCGGCGGACGGGUGAGUGAUGCUUAGGAAUCUGCCUAUUAGUGGGGGACAACAUCUCGAAAGGGAUGCUAAUACCGCAUACGUCCUACGGGAGAAAGCAGGGGAUCUUCGGACCUUGCGCUAAUAGAUGAGCCUAAGUCGGAUUAGCUAGUUGGUGGGGUAAAGGCCUACCAAGGCGACGAUCUGUAGCGGGUCUGAGAGGAUGAUCCGACACGCUGGGACUGAGACACGGACGAGACUCCUACGGGAGGCAGCAGUGGGGAGUAUUGGACAAUGGGGGGAACCCCGAUCCAGCCAUGCCGCGUGUGUGAAGAAGGCCUUAUGGUUGUAAAGCACUUUAAGCGAGGAGGAGGCUACUUUAGUUAAUACCUAGAGAUAGUGGACGUUACUCGCAGAAUAAGCACCGGCUAACUCUGCGCCAGCCGCCGCAGUAA